Molecule: microRNA, 24 nt
Filed under: Ananas comosus (pineapple)
Lineage: Eukaryota; Viridiplantae; Streptophyta; Magnoliopsida; Poales; Bromeliaceae
Description: microRNA s1590_c092b
Source: RNAcentral
AGAGGAGAUUUUUGCACUAGAGGU